GCCUACACGAAGUCGGAAUCGCUAGUAAUCGCGGAUCAGAAUGCUGCGGUGAAUACGUUCCCGGGUCUUGUACACACCGCCCGUCACACCAUGGGAGUUGGGAAUGCCCGAAGUCAGUGACCCAACCGCAAGGAGGGAGCUGCCGAAGGCAGGCUUGAUAACUGGGGUGAAGUCGUAACAAGGUAGC
RNAcentral lists this ribosomal RNA (187 nucleotides) under uncultured bacterium. RNAcentral's name for it is "partial 16S ribosomal RNA". It matches the Rfam family "Bacterial small subunit ribosomal RNA", at positions 1314 to 1500 of the family's 1533-position model. The record is from RNAcentral.